RNAcentral lists this ribosomal RNA (305 nucleotides) under uncultured bacterium. Its description in RNAcentral is "bacterial SSU rRNA". It matches the Rfam family "Bacterial small subunit ribosomal RNA", at positions 335 to 654 of the family's 1533-position model. The record is from RNAcentral.
UUGCCUACGGGGGGCAGCAGUGGGGAAUAUUGGGCAAUGGGCGCAAGCCUGACCCAGCAACGCCGCGUGAAGGAAGAAGGCUUUCGGGUUGUAAACUUCUUUUAUUGAGGACGAAACAAAUGACGGUACUCAAUGAAUAAGCCACGGCUAACUACGUGCCAGCAGCCGCGGUAAUACGUAGGUGGCAAGCGUUAUCCGGAAUCACUGGGCGUAAAGGGCGCGUAGGCGGUUUAAUAAGUCAGUGGUGAAAACUGAGGGCUCAACCCUCAGCCUGCCACUGAUACUGUUAGACUUGAGUAUGGAAG